Molecule: non-coding RNA, 1027 nt
Organism: Caretta caretta (loggerhead turtle)
Lineage: Eukaryota; Metazoa; Chordata; Testudines; Cheloniidae
Source: RefSeq, a predicted model, not a curated record
AAGGGAGGGACAGGCAGUAGAAACAAAAGUGAAACUGUUUGAGCAGCAUAUUCCAGAAGCCUCGAGGUCUUUUGGAGUGUAACCUUCAUUGAUUUGCGAUCUACCAUACCAUUCUCUCACUAGAAGGGAAAAUCUAUAAUGGCAGCAGGCCGUAAAAGAGACCAAGUCUGGGAACAUUUUAAUGAAGUUCCUCUACCUGUGGGUAAGACAGGCAUGUGUGCAAAAUGCAAACAGUGCAACAAAGAAAUGCAAGGCCGGUUGACUGAAUGAAACAACAUCAUGAAGAAGUGUUCCUUCUCAGAAGGAAGCUGUCCUGAGGAUGAUGAAAGAAACAUGUCUGAACAUGCAGGAUCUUCAGGAGAAUCCAUCCUCAACAUACAGGAUUCUGAAGACUCUCCACCUUAAAGAUCACCAUCAUUUUAUAUAGUUUCAGAGUUACCUGCCAAUGAUAGUGUUUCAGUCACAUCAUGUAUGUCACAUAGCCACAGUAUAUUUAUCACCUGUAGCAAAAAGAAAAAAAAAACGCCAUCAUCCAGAAACAAUCAUAGAUAAGAACCAGCAGAUUACAGAAAGAGGUAAUUGAUGAAAAAAUUGCCUGGUUUGUUAAUCAUACGGAAAGGAGAGUUUGUUGCAUAGAGAACCCACACUUCAUUAACAUGAUUCAGUCAUUAAGACCAGAAUAGAUUUCACCCAACAGAGCACAUGUCCCAGGCAAACUGCUGGACUGUGAAUCACCAGUGUAACACUGUUGCAAAAAAAAAUAAAAAUAAAAAAGCAAACAUCAUUCUGGGAUGUAUUAGCAGGAGUGUUGUAAGCAAGAAAAAUUGUAUGAAAGAGAAAUUGAGCAGUGUGCAAAAUGUGAAAUUGUUAACCUGAGUCUUGAUGGGUGGAACAAUGUCCACAAUGAUCCUGUUGCAUGUGCUUGUGUAACAGAAGGGAAUGUCUUCCUUACAGAAACAAUUGAUACAUUAGGAAAUGCACACACAGCAGAAUACUUACAAGAAGUAGCAGUAAAAGCUAUAACAAA